UGGCUCAGAUUGAACGCUGGCGGCAGGCCUAACACAUGCAAGUCGAGCGGUAGAGAGAAGCUUGCUUCUCUUGAGAGCGGCGGACGGGUGAGUAAUGCCUAGGAAUCUGCCUGGUAGUGGGGGAUAACGUUCGGAAACGGACGCUAAUACCGCAUACGUCCUACGGGAGAAAGCAGGGGACCUUCGGGCCUUGCGCUAUCAGAUGAGCCUAGGUCGGAUUAGCUAGUUGGUGGGGUAAUGGCUCACCAAGGCGACGAUCCGUAACUGGUCUGAGAGGAUGAUCAGUCACACUGGAACUGAGACACGGUCCAGACUCCUACGGGAGGCAGCAGUGGGGAAUAUUGGACAAUGGGCGAAAGCCUGAUCCAGCCAUGCCGCGUGUGUGAAGAAGGUCUUCGGAUUGUAAA
RNAcentral lists this ribosomal RNA (407 nucleotides) under Pseudomonas sp. 'Disko Bay 123'. Its description in RNAcentral is "bacterial SSU rRNA". It matches the Rfam family "Bacterial small subunit ribosomal RNA", at positions 20 to 429 of the family's 1533-position model. The record is from RNAcentral. Lineage: Bacteria; Pseudomonadati; Pseudomonadota; Gammaproteobacteria; Pseudomonadales; Pseudomonadaceae.